Molecule: ribosomal RNA, 467 nt
Filed under: uncultured bacterium
Lineage: Bacteria
Description: partial 16S ribosomal RNA
Rfam family: Bacterial small subunit ribosomal RNA
Source: RNAcentral
GACGAACGCUGGCGGCGUGCUUAACACAUGCAAGUCGAACGGUGAAGCUCCAGCUUGCUGGAGUGGAUCAGUGGCGAACGGGUGAGUAACACGUGAGCAACCUGCCCCAGACUCUGGAAUAAGCGCUGGAAACGGCGUCUAAUACUGGAUACGAGAUCAAGCCGCAUGGUUAUGGUCUGGAAAGUUUUUCGGUUUGGGAUGGGCUCGCGGCCUAUCAGCUUGUUGGUGAGGUAAUGGCUCACCAAGGCGACGACGGGUAGCCGGCCUGAGAGGGCGACCGGCCACACGGGGAUGGGGAAGGGGCCCAGCCCGCAAGGGGGGGAAGGGGGGGGAAAUUUUGCAAAAAGGGCGAAAGCCUGAUGGAGGGACGCCGGGUGGGGGAGGACGGCUUUCGGGUUGGAAACCUUUUUCAGCAGGGAAGAAGGGAAAGUGAGGGUCCCGGAAAAAAAAGCCCCGGCAAACUAGUG